CACCGAAGCUGCGGCAGCGACGCUUAUGCGUUGUUGGGUAGGGGAGCGUUCUGUAAGCCUGUGAAGGUGGCCUGUGAGGGUUGCUGGAGGUAUCAGAAGUGCGAAUGCUGACAUAAGUAACGAUAAAGCGGGUGAAAAGCCCGCUCGCCGGAAGACCAAGGGUUCCUGUCCAACGUUAAUCGGGGCAGGGUGAGUCGACCCCUAAGGCGAGGCCGAAAGGCGUAGUCGAUGGGAAACGGGUUAAUAUUCCCGUACUUGGUGUUACUGCGAAGGGGGGACGGAGAAGGCUAUGUUGGCCGGGCGACGGUUGUCCCGGUUUAAGCGUGUAGGUGUGUGUUCCAGGUAAAUCCGGUUCACUUUAACACUGAGGCGUGAUGACGAGGCACUACGGUGCUGAAGUAACAAAUGCCCUGCUUCCAGGAAAAGCCUCUAAGCAUCAGGUAACAUCAAAUCGUACCCCAAACCGACACAGGUGGUCAGGUAGAGAAUACCAAGGCGCUUGAGAGAACUCGGGUGAAGGAACUAGGCAAAAUGGUGCCGUAACUUCGGGAGAAGGCACGCUGACAC
This 567-nucleotide ribosomal RNA is filed under the name Salmonella enterica. Its description in RNAcentral is "partial 23S ribosomal RNA". It matches the Rfam family "Bacterial large subunit ribosomal RNA", at positions 1192 to 1757 of the family's 2925-position model. The record is from RNAcentral. Lineage: Bacteria; Pseudomonadati; Pseudomonadota; Gammaproteobacteria; Enterobacterales; Enterobacteriaceae.